Molecule: ribosomal RNA, 533 nt
Filed under: uncultured bacterium
Lineage: Bacteria
Description: bacterial SSU rRNA
Rfam family: Bacterial small subunit ribosomal RNA
Source: RNAcentral
CUCCUACGGGAGGCAGCAGUGGGGAAUAUUGGACAAUGGGCGAAAGCCUGAUCCAGCAAUGCCGCGUGAGUGAUGAAGGCCUUCGGGUUGUAAAGCUCUGUCAGUGGGAACGAAUAAGCCGUUUAAUACACGGUGGUGACGGUACCCACAAAGGAAGCACCGGCUAACUCUGUGCCAGCAGCCGCGGUAAUACAGAGGGUGCAAGCGUUGUUCGGAAUUACUGGGCGUAAAGCGCGUGUAGGCGGUUUGAUAAGUUGGGUGUGAAAUCCCUCGGCUUAACCGAGGAACUGCAUCCAAAACUAUCAGACUUGAGUAUCGGAGGGGGUGGCGGAAUUCCUGGUGUAGAGGUGAAAUUCGUAGAUAUCAGGAGGAACACCCGUGGCGAAGGCGGCCACCUGGAAGAUUACUGACGCUGAGACGCGAAAGCGUGGGGAGCAAACAGGAUUAGAUACCCUGGUAGUCCACGCCGUAAACUAUGAGUGCUAGGUGUUGUGGGUAUUGACCCCUACAGUGCCAAAGCUAACGCGUUAAGC